This 1061-nucleotide unclassified non-coding RNA is filed under the name Hevea brasiliensis (rubber tree). Lineage: Eukaryota; Viridiplantae; Streptophyta; Magnoliopsida; Malpighiales; Euphorbiaceae. The record is from RNAcentral.
GGCCACUACAAUGGCUAUAACCUCCCCUUCCUUCCUCUUCCUCUCCCUCCCAAUCCUUCUCCUCGUAUCCACCUCCACCACUUUCUCCUCCCCCGUCUGCAACCCGUCCGACAAGACAGCCCUGCUCGCCAUUGGAGCAUCCCUAAAAAUAAAAGCAUCCCGCAACCGUGGUUGGACCCCCGCCACCGACUGCUGCAACUGGGUCGGCGUCCUCUGCGACGACACCACCGGCCGCGUCACAGCCCUCAACGUCUACCCCUCUCAUGUCACCUCCACUCUCCCCUCCGCCAUCGGUGACCUCCCCUUCCUCACCAACAUUGACAUCCGCCAACAAUCAAACCUCACCGGCCCAAUCCCUCCGGCCAUAUCCCGUCUCACCCGCCUCACCUGGCUCCGCCUCGAUAAAAACAGCCUUACCGGCCCUGUCCCCACCUUCCUCUUCCGCCUCCCGGUCCUCAACUACCUUGACCUCUCCCACAACCGCCACACCGGCGGCAUUCCUCCCGCCAUCGCCAGCUCCUCUCUAAACUACCUCUUCCUCUCCCGUAACAGCCUCAGCGGCCCCAUCUCGGCAUACGUUGCCAAAUCAAACGUGACCACCCUCUUCCUCGACCACAACCACUUCACCGGUCCCCUCCCCCUUUCCUUCGCUCACUCGGUGGUGGAAGAUCUCGACUUCUCCGGCAACAGGCUCACUGGAGACCCCUCCUUGCUACUUGGCGCCAAGAGCCCGCGAGGAAUCGUGAGCUUGUCGAGGAACCUCUUUGAGUUCAACCUGAGCGCAGUGGUGUUUCCUAAGGGGCUGGCUGUGCUGAACCUGGACCAUAACAGGGUAUAUGGGAGCAUCCCGCCGCUGAUCACGAAGCUGGAUGAGUUGCAGGUCCUGAACGUGAGCUACAACCUGCUCUGUGGGAAGAUUCCGCCGGGAGGGAAACUGGGGAAGUUCUUUGCGUACGAUCCCUACAACUUCUUCCACAACAAGUGCCUCUGCGGGCCGCCGCUUCCAGCUUGCAAGUAAACAGCCUGGCUGUGCUCAUUUUCAGUAUUAAGGAUAAUAAAAG